RNAcentral lists this ribosomal RNA (253 nucleotides) under uncultured bacterium. RNAcentral's name for it is "partial 16S ribosomal RNA". It matches the Rfam family "Bacterial small subunit ribosomal RNA", at positions 524 to 776 of the family's 1533-position model. The record is from RNAcentral.
UACGGAGGAUCCAAGCGUUAUCCGGAUUUAUUGGGUUUAAAGGGUGCGUAGGUGGAAGAGUAAGUCAGAGGUGAAAGCUAGCAGCUUAACUGUUAAAUUGCCUUUGAUACUGCUUUUCUUGAGUAUAGUUGGCGUUGGCGGAAUGUGACAUGUAGCGGUGAAAUGCGUAGAUAUGUCACAGAACACCGAUCGCGAAGGCAGCUAACGAAGCUAUCACUGACACUGAUGCACGAAAGCGUGGGGAGCAAACAGG